AUCCUUUCUGGUUCAUAAAGCAUGAUGACUGGGUGUUCACACCAUUGCGCCAUAUGUGCUGUGCAUAAACCUUGUUAUGAUAUGGUCACAUUACCUGUCUGACA
Molecule: small nucleolar RNA, 104 nt
Organism: Grammomys surdaster
Lineage: Eukaryota; Metazoa; Chordata; Mammalia; Rodentia; Muridae
Product: small nucleolar RNA U13
Exons: 1
Source: RefSeq, a predicted model, not a curated record